GUUUUAAUAAUUUAUAAUAAAAUAUUGGUCUUGUAAAUCAAAAAAAAGAAUAUUCUUUUAAAACU
RNAcentral lists this transfer RNA (65 nucleotides) under Milichus apicalis. Its description in RNAcentral is "tRNA-Thr". Lineage: Eukaryota; Metazoa; Arthropoda; Insecta; Coleoptera; Scarabaeidae. The record is from RNAcentral.